This is a non-coding RNA of Podarcis lilfordi (Lilford's wall lizard), 245 nucleotides long. Lineage: Eukaryota; Metazoa; Chordata; Lepidosauria; Squamata; Lacertidae. The record is from the annotation of a GenBank genome assembly.
GAGGGAAAGCUGCGCAGCGCCCCUCCAGCAAAGCGGGAGGAGAUAUGGAAGGGGCUCCGUUUUUCCUGCCGCUUCGCUGAAGGGGCACUGCACGGAGAGUGAAAGCUGUGCAGCGCCCCUUCAGCAAAGCAGGGGAAGAAACGGAGCUCCUUCCAUUUCUCCUCCCGCUUUGCUGGAGAGGUGCUGCACAGAGAGGGAGAGAAUAUUUUUUUUCUUGUUCUCCUCCUCUAGAACUAGUUGCCUCU